Molecule: ribosomal RNA, 114 nt
Filed under: Pogona vitticeps (central bearded dragon)
Lineage: Eukaryota; Metazoa; Chordata; Lepidosauria; Squamata; Agamidae
Source: RNAcentral
GCAUUACACUAUAGCAUUCUGAAAACACAUGAUCUUAUCUGAUUUUGAAAGCUAAAUAGGGUCAGGUCUGGUCAGAAUUUGCAUUGAAGACCACCUGGGAGCACCAAGGAUCCU